GACGAACGCUGGCGGCGUGCUUAACACAUGCAAGUCGAGCGAGUGAGUUCUUCGGAACGAUCUAGCGGCGGACGGGUGAGUAACACGUGGGCAACCUGCCUCAUAGAGGGGAAUAGCCUCCCGAAAGGGAGAUUAAUACCGCAUAAAAUUAUCGAGUGGCAUCACAUGAUAAUCAAAGGAGUAAUCCGCUAUGAGAUGGGCCCGCGGCGCAUUAGCUAGUUGGUGAGGUAACGGCCUACCAAGGCGACGAUGCGUAGCCGACCUGAGAGGGUGAUCGGCCACAUUGGGACUGAGACACGGCCCAGACUCCUACGGGAGGCAGCAGUGGGGAAUAUUGCACAAUGGGGGAAACCUUGAUGCAGCAACGCCGCGUGAGUGAUGAAGGUCUUCGGAUUGUAAAGCUCUGUCUUUGGGGACGAUAAUGACGGUACCCAAGGAGGAAGCCACGGCUAACUACGUGCCAGCCGCCGCGGUAA
This 476-nucleotide ribosomal RNA is filed under the name uncultured bacterium. Its description in RNAcentral is "partial 16S ribosomal RNA". It matches the Rfam family "Bacterial small subunit ribosomal RNA", at positions 28 to 523 of the family's 1533-position model. The record is from RNAcentral.